RNAcentral lists this long non-coding RNA (385 nucleotides) under Brassica napus (rape). RNAcentral describes it as "long non-coding RNA (BNAP_LNC013551)". Lineage: Eukaryota; Viridiplantae; Streptophyta; Magnoliopsida; Brassicales; Brassicaceae. The record is from RNAcentral.
UUGUUUCCAUCAUUGUUUCCACCAUUGUUGCCAUCAUUGUUACUAUUACCAUUGCUGUUGUUGUUGUCAUUGUUUUCACCGUUGUUGUUGUUGUUGUUAUUGUUUUCUUGUUGUGGCGAUGGUGGAGGUUGUGAGUCUGAAGAAGGAGGUGGAGGAGAGGAUGAGGAAUUAUCUGGAGGAGGAGGAGCUGGUGGUGAAGAUGAAGGAGAGGAGGAGGAGGAGGAGUCAGGAGACGGAGGAGAUUGCUGUUGAGUGUUGUCGGGGGAGGAAGGAGAUGGAGGUGUAGGAGACGGCGGUGAAUUCUCCGGGGACUGCCCCUCCGCCAUAAUCUCUUUUGGGUGUUUUUUCUUCUUCUUCUUUUAUUUAUUUUCCUGAAGCUCUCUCC